CCUACGGGUGGCAGCAGUGGGGAAUAUUGGACAAUGGGGGGAACCCUGAUCCAGCCAUGCCGCGUGUGUGAAGAAGGCCCUCGGGUUGUAAAGCACUUUCAGUGAGGAAGAACGCCUGGUGGUUAAUACCCAUCAGGAAAGACAUCACUCACAGAAGAAGCACCGGCUAACCCCGUGCCAGCAGCCGCGGUAAUACGGAGGGUGCGAGCGUUAAUCGGAAUUACUGGGCGUAAAGCGCGCGUAGGUGGCUUGAUAAGCCGGUUGUGAAAGCCCCGGGCUCAACCUGGGAACGGCAUCCGGAACUGUCAAGCUAGAGUGCAGGAGAGGAAGGUAGAAUUCCCGGUGUAGCGGUGAAAUGCGUAGAGAUCGGGAGGAAUACCAGUGGCGAAGGCGGCCUUCUGGACUGACACUGACACUGAGGUGCGAAAGCGUGGGUAGCAAACAGGAUUAGAUACCCCAGUAGUC
This 465-nucleotide ribosomal RNA is filed under the name Vreelandella stevensii. RNAcentral's name for it is "partial 16S ribosomal RNA". It matches the Rfam family "Bacterial small subunit ribosomal RNA", at positions 338 to 795 of the family's 1533-position model. Lineage: Bacteria; Pseudomonadati; Pseudomonadota; Gammaproteobacteria; Oceanospirillales; Halomonadaceae. The record is from RNAcentral.